This is a long non-coding RNA of Triticum aestivum (bread wheat), 883 nucleotides long. RefSeq lists it as uncharacterized. The transcript has 7 exons. Lineage: Eukaryota; Viridiplantae; Streptophyta; Magnoliopsida; Poales; Poaceae. The record is from RefSeq and is a predicted model, not a curated record.
GUGGCACUGGGACAGGGAGAGUGUCUGUGUGACCAUGACUGCGGUGAUCGGGACAGGGCCAGUGAUCGCCACCAUCGUGAGCACCGUGAGAGGAGUGAAAUAAGGGAGCAUUGUGACCGUUUUGAUGAUUGUGACCAUCGCCGGAGCCAUGAUCUUGAUGUUGAAAGGGAACAAUGAUGAAUUCUAUGGAGGAUGCUCAUGGAAGGAAAGGCUAUGUUGUCUUAACAAGGAUGGAAAGUAUAACAACAUACACAAACCAACGUGGACAACCCAAAUCUGGACUGAUGGAACCUGGAAGAUACACCUGAAACUGAAGAAAAAGUUCUCAAAAGUGCGGAAGAGCGGUAUAGAGGCUGGCGACCAACUCUAAGCUCCACUUACAAGGCAUACAAAACAUAUGCAGCUAGGUUGGCUUAUCUGCUGGAAGAUUUACAACAAGAAGAGUGGGAAUGGACGAUUGUGUACUUUGGCACUGAUUCAAAAUUUCAGGAACGCAGCCAAAAGAACAUUGAUAGUCGUAAGAAACAGAAGACAAGACACAUAUUUCGAUCAAAAUCUUACUCGCAACUAAAUUUCGAGAAGAGAAACAUGGAAACUGAAGAAGAGCCAGAUUGUAUUGCUAUGUGGGAACUCACCCACACGAAGAAUGAAACAUGGUCUGACACUGAGUCCCAGGAUGUUUACGAUCCAAAGAACUAGCUCGACUGGACUCUAGAUCACGGACAAUUUAGUCUUGGCACUUAAUUAGGAUGCCUAAAUUACAUUUGAUGGAUAUUUGCUAUGAGAAUUAUGAAUUUUAUGAAUCUACAUAUUGUACGUAUGGUUUUGAAUAUUGUAAUUGAAUGCCUAUAUUUUUUUUAGGUUGCAAUAGGCUAUUGCCACA